UAAUACGAAGGGUGCAAGCGUUAAUCGGAAUUACUGGGCGUAAAGCGCGCGUAGGUGGUUCAGCAAGUUGGAUGUGAAAUCCCCGGGCUCAACCUGGGAACUGCAUCCAAAACUACUGAGCUAGAGUACGGUAGAGGGUGGUGGAAUUUCCUGUGUAGCGGUGAAAUGCGUAGAUAUGCGGAGGAACACCGAUGGCGAAGGCAAUCCCCUGGGCCUGCACUGACGCUCAUGCACGAAAGCGUGGGGAGCAAACAGGAUUAGAUACCCUGGUAGUCCACGCCGUAAACGAUGUCGACUAGCCGUUGGGAUCCUUGAGAUCUUAGUGGCGCAGCUAACGCGAUAAGUCGACCGCCUGGGGAGUACGGCCGCAAGGUUAAAACUCAAAUGAAUUGACGG
RNAcentral lists this ribosomal RNA (396 nucleotides) under uncultured bacterium. Its description in RNAcentral is "bacterial SSU rRNA". It matches the Rfam family "Bacterial small subunit ribosomal RNA", at positions 521 to 916 of the family's 1533-position model. The record is from RNAcentral.